This 36-nucleotide non-coding RNA is filed under the name unclassified sequences. Its description in RNAcentral is "DUF805b RNA". It matches the Rfam family "DUF805b RNA". From Rfam's summary of the family: Bacteroidetes, Chlorobi (1 example), Proteobacteria. Lineage (Flavobacteria) The record is from RNAcentral.
UAGGAGAAAGCCGAAAAUCCUUAAAAAGAGUAGGCA